RNAcentral lists this ribosomal RNA (425 nucleotides) under uncultured bacterium. RNAcentral describes it as "partial 16S ribosomal RNA". It matches the Rfam family "Bacterial small subunit ribosomal RNA", at positions 354 to 796 of the family's 1533-position model. The record is from RNAcentral.
GUGGGGAAUAUUGGGCAAUGGGCGAAAGCCUGACCCAGCAACGCCGCGUGAAGGAAGAAGGUCUUCGGAUCGUAAACUUCUAUCCUUGGUGAAGAUAAUGACGGUAGCCGAGAAGGAAGCCCCGGCUAACUACGUGCCAGCAGCCGCGGUAAUACGUAGGGGGCAAGCGUUGUCCGGAAUGAUUGGGCGUAAAGGGGGCGUAGGCGGCCUGGUAAGUCUGGAGUGAAAGUCCUGCUUUUAAGGUGGGAAUUGCUUUGGAUACUGUCGGGCUUGAGUGCAGGAGAGGUCAGUGGAAGUCCCGGUGUAGCGGUGAAAUGCGUAGAGAUCGGGAGGAACACCAGUGGCGAAGGCGACUUACUGGACUGUAACUGACGCUGAGGCGCGAAAGUGUGGGGAGCAAACAGGAUUAGAUACCCCGGUAGUCC